GAUGAAUGCCAGGCUGGGAAAACCUGCAGGAGCCUGGCAGUGCCCAGAAGUGCCCAGGUGUUGUGAGAUUGGACAGAGAUCUUGUACCCAAGAUUUGCAGAUUAGCAGAAGUCUCAUGAUCUGCCUCUUUCCUGGUGUGCUGGAGACACUGCUAAAAAUAGAUUUAGAUGGCAAGAGAGGAAGAUGUACCCCUGUGGCCUGGACCUGUCCUGAUAGGUAGAGGAUGCAGCCAGAAAUGCCCUGACCUUGAAGGGGAACACAAAGACACCCACUGUGCAGAUCAUGAUCCGGGAUUUCUAACAGCCAAAGGACAUGACAAACUCUUGUAGUGAUGCCAGUGACCAACUGAGUCUUCUUGUGCAUCUGCUAUAUUCCUAUUUCUCUUGUGGUGGAAGACAGCAGAAAACCCUGGUCUGGAUGGGACAGAUGAGACCUAAAGCAUGAAGUCCUGUCCUGUUAGCACCUGUGGCCUGAAUUAGUGCCACAGUCACUUCUCACCUCCCUGCAUCUUUCUCAGGGUUGGAUGCAAUUAAACACCGAAUUUUAAGGUCCUAAAGAGCAUGUCUCACACCUCUGGGCUUCAAUAGGGUUAAUGUGCUAAGUCACGGCUUAAUUAUCAGGUUCAAAUCAAAUUUAGAGGUUUUAUAAUUGGAAAACCAGGCAGUAACAAAGCUACUGCAUAAAAACAAAGCCAAAAAAAGAAUCAUAAAAUGAGUUCUAAAAAGGGCAGGAGAGAAAACAAGUACAAAUGUCAGAGGGAGCACUUGUCCCUGGGAGUGCCUUCCUUUAUCAACUGGCUGAACAGGGUUGGAAGGCCAGGAUUGCCACCUGGAUACGAGGAAAAGCUUUUUCACCCUAGGUGAGAAACACUGGGACAGAGGCCAAGAGACGUAUUGGGAUCUCCAUCCUUGGAAGUGUUCAAAACUCAACUGGACAAGGAAAGAAGCAGCCUGAUCCAGCCUGGACAUGCUGGGAGCCCUUUUGGGGGCCCUGUCCUCACUGUGUCAGCCUGUGAUUCUGCCUAACUAUGAAAACAUGUUAUUUCUCUCACAAUUUCCCUUCCUUCUUUCACUUUUCUACCCUCUGAGUCCCAUCUCACCAUCCUCUUCCACUGGAGCCUCUGGGCUGUCCCAUUCCAUACUGACUUUAUAAGGCCUGUUGCAGGAGAGUCCCUCAUAAAGGAAAGGGUUUUUAGAGGAAAAGCAGUGUUAUUUGGCUCAGAGGAAUUGCUGCCCCUUCCUUGCAUAAGGGGGAAUCAGUAGGUCAGGCUUUGGAAGAGCAGGCAGUGGGACUGAGGGCAGCCUGGAGCUGGACAUCUGUGCUGUGUCGCCUUUGGAAACUCAGCUGCUGUUGCUCAGUCUCUCCUGAAAGCAGGGAAUGAUGGGGCCGUGUUGGGUCAUGCUGUGGGGUGUUCAGAAAGUUGGGAUUUGGCUGCUCUAGGACCAAGAGGAGUGGAAAGACUGGUUUCCUGGCAGAGACAACACAAAAUUACUGGUUAUUUAAAUCAGAGCUGAAUCUCGGGGAUUCACUGCAAAACACCAUAUUCAGGAAAACCUGUUUUGCUGUAACAAAGCACAGGAAUUUUAUCCUGACAAGAGCAAACCCCAUUUUUAGGCAACUAAAGCAAAAAUACAGGUUGUAACAUUUUUUUGUUUGUUUAAGAUACAUAUAUUUGUCCUCAAAUAUCUCACAAUGUAAAACUACCUGAAUGUGAACUGAGCAACAAUUCCUACCUACAUUCUUGGGGGACAAGUAUAAUAUGCACAGGAAAGAGAAAGGCUAUUUGGGUGCAUAUACAGUCUGCAAUACUUCAUUGCACAUCUCCAGCAGUGUGGGACAGGUUGACUUUUGGAAGGGGGGGGAGGUUGGUUUGGGGAGUUUUUUGCAUAAAUCCAGGAUUAGCUUUAGGAGAUGAAACAUUUAUUGAAAGAUGCAAUUUCAGAGAGUGACAGAAAGCACGUUUCAUAACUAAUCCCGCUGAAAUUUAUGUAAGAAACCUUUCCAAUUCACCUGUGCACUGGAGGAAACAAAAAAAGUAUUAUAAACUAUCAGCUUAUUUUGCUUUCCUUUUCGGCCCUUUAAUUUUCGUGGGCUGCCGUGCUAAACGUGGGACUGAAUUUACUUUUA
This is a long non-coding RNA of Lepidothrix coronata (blue-crowned manakin), 2127 nucleotides long. RefSeq lists it as uncharacterized. The record is from RefSeq and is a predicted model, not a curated record. The transcript is spliced from 3 exons. NCBI's taxonomy places the organism in Eukaryota, Metazoa, Chordata, Aves, Passeriformes, Pipridae.